Molecule: long non-coding RNA, 203 nt
Filed under: Phoenix dactylifera (date palm)
Lineage: Eukaryota; Viridiplantae; Streptophyta; Magnoliopsida; Arecales; Arecaceae
Description: long non-coding RNA (PDAC_LNC004058)
Source: RNAcentral
CUCUUAAGCCAUUUUUCACGACUCUCGAUCCUAAGAGCAGUUUUGUCGACAUUCUCCAAUCCUAAGGGCAGAUCUCCUUUGGGGUUGGAAAGUCUAAGGAGACACCGAUCAUCCCUCCUCCACUCGCAAUGGAAAGCAAUCUUGGAAGAACAAUAACAAACAACCGACCAACAGCACUUUACAAAACCGCUCUUACCUUUCCA